GAUGAAGAACGCAGCGAAAUGCGAUAAGUAAUGUGAAUUGCAGAAUUCAGUGAAUCAUCGAAUCUUUGAACGCACAUUGCGCCCUCUGGUAUUCCGGGGGGCAUGCCUGUUCGAGCGUCAUUAUAACCACUCAAGCUCUCGCUUGGUAUUGGGGCUCGCGGUUCCGCGGCCCCUAAAAUCAGUGGCGGUGCCUGUCGGCUCUACGCGUAGUAAUACUCCUCGCGAUUGAGUCCGGUAGGUCUACUUGCCAGCAACCCCCAAUUUUUACAGGUUGACCUCGGAUCAGGUAGGGAUACCCGCUGAACUUAAGCAUAUCAAUAAGGAGGA
This 327-nucleotide unclassified non-coding RNA is filed under the name soil metagenome. RNAcentral describes it as "partial contains 5.8S ribosomal RNA, internal transcribed spacer 2, and large subunit ribosomal RNA". The stretch from base 1 to 120 matches the Rfam family "5.8S ribosomal RNA", at positions 35 to 154 of the family's 154-position model. The record is from RNAcentral.